Molecule: long non-coding RNA, 281 nt
Filed under: Mytilus galloprovincialis (Mediterranean mussel)
Lineage: Eukaryota; Metazoa; Mollusca; Bivalvia; Mytilida; Mytilidae
Source: RNAcentral
CUUCUACAGCCAGAUUAUAUUUAGCAAAUAGCAAGCUACAAGUGUUGGUGAUAUUUUCAAGAAUAUCUCUACGUAUAUAUUCAAGCCGGGUACAGCCUAGCAGAAAAUGAGCAAGUGUCUCUUCACUACAUUUGCAUAGCAUACAGACAACAUCUAUUUUGUUUUGAUUAAAGGAGGCUCUAUUUGUUUGGCCAAUGAGACAACUCUUCACGAGAGACCAAAACGACACAGAAAUUAACUAUAUAGGGCACCGUACGGUCUUCAACAAUGAUCAAAACCCA